This 492-nucleotide ribosomal RNA is filed under the name uncultured bacterium. RNAcentral describes it as "partial 16S ribosomal RNA". It matches the Rfam family "Bacterial small subunit ribosomal RNA", at positions 29 to 507 of the family's 1533-position model. The record is from RNAcentral.
AGUGAACGCUGGCGGUAGGCCUAACACAUGCAAGUCGAACGGCAGCACAGUAAGAGCUUGCUCUUACGGGUGGCGAGUGGCGGACGGGUGAGGAAUACAUCGGAAUCUACUUUUUCGUGGGGGAUAACGUAGGGAAACUUACGCUAAUACCGCAUACGACCUACGGGUGAAAGCAGGAGAUCUUCGGACCUUGCGCGAUUGAAUGAGCCGAUGUCGGAUUAGCUAGUUGGCGGGGUAAAGGCCCACCAAGGCGACGAUCCGUAGCUGGUCUGAGAGGAUGAUCAGCCACACUGGAACUGAGACACGGGCCAGACUCCUACGGGAGGCAGCAGUGGGGAAUAUUGGACAAUGGGCGCAAGCCUGAUCCAGCCAUACCGCGUGGGUGAAGAAGGCCGUCGGGUUGUAAAGCCCUUUUGUUGGGAAAGAAAAGCAGCAGGUUAAUACCCCGCUGUUCUGACGGUACCCAAAGAAUAAGCACCGGCUAACUUCGUG